This 131-nucleotide unclassified non-coding RNA is filed under the name uncultured fungus. RNAcentral describes it as "sequence contains ITS1". The record is from RNAcentral. Lineage: Eukaryota; Fungi.
GUUUUGUAUUGUAAUGGUAUCAGACACAGUGCAGUGUUCAAGAGUUGUUGUUUGCAGGUCGACUACACGAAUGCAAUCGGCACUAUUGAUAGAAUCCAAAAAUGAUCCUUCCGCAGGUUCACCUACGGAAA